AUUUUUGAACCUGUCCUGCAAAGCCUCCUUCUCUUACCACCACAGAGGCCCGAGCUGCAACCAACCUUGGGCUUCCACUUGCAUUCCUGAUGAGUCUCCAGAGGCAGAAUCUGUGGCAGCUCAACCUUGAAGCUCUGCUCCCACCCUAGCACCAGCCACGUUGAUCGGGGAGUCCACUCCAAUCUACCCUCAGGCCUCAGCUCCUUAACUUCUUCUCUUCUGUGCAUUCCAUGUGGUUUGAUGGCCUGCAAAGGCUUAUGCAUUGCUUAUGCUUAGGCAUUGAAAGCUUGUUCCUUGCUGUGGCGAUGUUGGUAGAUGGUGGGAAUUUUAGGAGGUGGGGCCUAGUGAGAGGCGAUUAGGCCCUUGGAGGUAUGCCAUGCAAAGGGACCCUGGGACCCCAGUCUCUUCCUCUCCCUCUUUGCUGCCUCCUGGUCCUGACCUAAAUAGUACUUUGCUAUACCAUGUGCUUUCACUAAGAUGUACUAUACGUCACCACAGGCCUAAAGCAAGGCUGUAAUGGGACUGGAAUCUUCAAAAAUGUAAACCAAAGUGAACCUUUUCUCUUUAUAAGGUGAUUAUCUCAGGUGUUUUGUUCAAGUGAUAGAAAACUGAUGGAUACAGCUGGUGACACCUGCAGCCGAUUCCCAUCAAGCUUUAUCUGUGCAACAUGCCUAUGUUAUUAUUAAUAAUCCUUAUUUCACAGAUUUGCACACUGAGGCAGAGGUGACAGAACCAGGAUCCAGAGUCAGGCAGUUUCCAUGAGAACCUAGACUCCUACUGAUUGCUUUCAUUGGCCCAUUGAACUGCGAACACACAAGAUGGAGCAGGGAGCUGCUGCUCUAGGAGUGGUUCAACUUGCUAUUGCUACAGUUCUCUAAGGCACCCAAAUGGGAAGUUUUCAUCUUCGGGGAAAGUGAGCUGCUUUUGCCAUCGCUGAACCCUCCGUCCAGCUGUCCCCUGACUUGCUUACCUAUGCGGGUUGAUGGAGUGACCCUCUUGUUUCGGGAUUUGGUUCUACCUGUUAAGGGGUAAGCCGAGGAGACACGGGGUCCCUUGAAGAGGUAGAAAACGAAAACAAGAAUAAUGUAACCCCGUGAGGCUCCGAGAUAACAGGAGGCUAGAGAUCUUAGGAGAGCAUUCCUGAGAGACGGAAAGGAAGAUAAAACCCAAGGCACCCAGUCAGCCGGACACGUGCCUGUGAGAUGAGGGAGUCCAUCAUGGCCAGUGGUGCGGACAUUCUGACAAUUCUUUUCUCAGACGAUAACAUCCUACCUUUGGGAGGACGAAGACAGAGCAUGCUCCAUGAGCUUCUCAGAUUUUAGGUCUCUUCGCAGCCACUAAAUCAAAUGGAAACUUUUUCUCCAGGGGAAAAAAAAAAAAAUCAUCAUUUUUUUUUUUUUUUUUUGGAUUUAAAAUAAGGGAAUCAGUGGCCAUUUAAAUUCAUUCAAGUCUAGCCAGGUGCCGUGGCGCACACUUGUCAGCCCAGUGACUCAGGAGGCUGAGGCAGGAGGAUAGCAAGUUGGAGGCCAGCUUCUGCAACUUAGCAAGAGCCUGUCUCAAAAUAAAAUUUAGACAGGACUGGGAUGUAGCUCCGUGGUAAAACACUCCUGGGCUCCAUCCUCGGUGCCAGAAAAUGAUAAUAAUAAAAUCCACUCAAAGCAGGUAGUCAUGAAACUUGCUUUGAAUGGUUAGGUGAGGCGGAUGGUUUUGUCUCUGUGGAAUUAGCACGGAAUUCACCCAGCUCAGGAGCCGAGGACCAAUGCCACAGUGUGCAGGGUAGGUGGGCCAAGGGACCUUUGCUUCCCAUCAUGACGAGCUCCUAGAAUCUCUACUGUUCUGAUUGCAAAAGGUCCAUUUUUGAAGAGUGAGAAGUUCAGGUUGGGUGACUGAAGGGCUUCUCCAGAAGAUGCAAGCAACCUCUGUUGACAAAAUGACACAGACCACCUUACUAACGAAUUCAAAAUCCCUAAGGAAGUACGUGAGGUUCCAAGCUUGGUUAGAGGUGGGACACUCUCUCAGAUGAAACAGAACAGGAUUUUGAGAAAAAUCAAGCUAUUACCAAAAUAUCGUCAAAAUUUUUUAAGGAAGCCGCAUCUAUCCUACAGGUAUUUUAUAAUUUUUUUUUUUUUUUGGAACGACUAUCCUGCUGAUCAUAGAAAAGAAUAAAUUAAUUAAAAUAUCUUCAACGUCCCUUUCCAUCGCUGUGACUGAUAAAAAUAUAUUGCAAACCUCGACCCAAAGAGUUGUUGUAAACUCAACCUAAAAAUAUAACCAGGAAGCAUUUCCAAUUCCCCUCUCAGGGAUUGUAAUGAUCAUAGGAGGCAUUUCUUAAGAUGCUGUGCAGUCGCUCACCCUUCAAUCAAACAAAGCCCCGCUCUCUAGCCUUCACUCAUUUUCCUAGGAGACCACAGCUGCUAUUCACAACCCACAGUCAUAGCAUUGACUAAGUAGUUCUGGAAAAGCAACUCAACGCAAGGAAAUUGUGAAAAUUCUAAGAAUUUACCAGGAUGUCAACCUACCCACUGCACUGAGUUCAAGCACAAGGAAAAUAUUGGGUACAUGUAUGACUGCCACAGGAUCAGUUCUGUGACUUUCAUGAAACUUUUGUCUCUUCCCGGACUCUGGCCAUUUUAGUGAGUGGCACCUUCAGAUUCGAGUACACACUUGGCAUCUAAGACCCUGCCUUCACCUGAGACAGGGAGUGCACCUUCGGGAAGAAGCGCUGUCUUCCCAGGGAGAAAGAAUGGGCUGCACAAACCGAGCGUGAUCUGUUUUCACGUCUGUUAUGCAGUCGCACACUGCAGUCGUAAUAGUAACCAUCUUCCCUAUUUUGUGCUUCACUAGGGCAUAGGCGGCCAAUUGUGUCGCCAGUCUGAGUCUGGAUCACUUUCUACUGACGGUUUUUAAUAACUGAAGACAUUUGCAGCUGGAAGGUGGCCAGCGGUGCUUGUGACAGAGCAGGGGAAGUGAAGGUGGGUGAGGGUGCUGACUCUGCCUGGGUCUGUGCUCCUCCGGAGGAGCAGAAUCAGCCAUUAAAAAAAAUCAAACCAUUGAGGCCGUGGGUGAAGGUCUGCGAGCUGUUUAAUGUCAUAAUCUGCCUGCUGUCUCCAUCAUCAAACUGAAUGGACUUCUAAGUCGAAAUGUCAUAAAGGCUCAGCAUAAAGGUUUAUAGAAGCCAGGUACCCGACCUACCGCCAAGCACGGCCGGUGGCAGGAAGUGUUUGUUAUGUCUUACUCAACCUUUUGGGGGAAAAAUAAAUAAAUAAAUCCGGAAACGUGCUUGUCCUGGCAAUGCUCAAAGCAUUAAGAAUGGAUCCUCUUAUCUGGAUGGGGUGAUCAGCCUCUGUAAUAAACAUAUCCAUUUCCUGUAAAAAAAUAAUUUUAAUCCAGAUUCCUUUCAUGGAAAAUGGUGUCAUGUUUUCCCCCCUGGUAUGUGGCCAAAAUGGGAGAGGAACAAUCCUUGCUAAAGAUGAAUUAUUUUUUUUUUUCUGAAGAGUUAUUUUAUGUUGUCAUUCUCACUUACAUUUUGAUCCUCCCUAAAAUAGCACAAAACAAAGAAAACACAAGCCUGCGAAUUUCAUUACAGGGCCUCUUAUAAAUGUGUACUCAAUGUAAAAAUGAUAUUUUUUUGGGGGGGGUCAGAUAGUCUUUGGAAUUCCUCCUUUCUAUACAAUCCCGGAUUAUUUUAAAGUUGGUGAUUCAUAUUACUCAACAUAAUGACAUAUUGUCCUGUUAUAAAAAUGUGAAAAACAGUUUCAAAGAUGCGACAAGAGCUGUCUUUCUAGGUCAAUUUACCAAAUAUUUACAAAUGUCUCACUUACCAGAUUAUUAAAACAACGUCCAUUAAAUUCUUACAAAUCCAUAAGAGGUUAUAAAACAGAAGAAAAAUAAAAAAGACAUUCGACACAUUAGUUUCCAGGGAAGUGUACCCAUUGGGGGGCAGAGAGCACAUAAUUGGUAUGGCUGAAAUUUAAAAAGACCAAAAGAGUUGGCAAGAAAAGACUAGAAGGAGUGAAUCAGGGACAGAAGAACAUGAUAGGAGAUCCCCAAACACAAAUUGAUAGAUAGAUGAAAGAGGAUUGUAGAUUUAGGCCACGCCCAAGAGCCAGAGGCCAGGAUGGGAGAGGAUAGAAGUAGCCAGGCAUCGAGAGACUCCUGGGAAAGGUGGGAACCACGUACUUGAAUCACCUACCAGACUGGAAUAUUUGCUCUUCAUCUAAAAGCUAUGAAAAUCCAAUAAAGUUUUUAAAGGCAGGAAAUGUCACCAGCGAGUUCGGUGUUUGGAAGGACAACUGAGCAACACUGAGACACUACCAGGGAAACCCCGAGGAUCAGGUGUUGUCCAGCGUAGGAUAAAGCUGAGGAAAGCUCCCAAGGAGGAGGACCGCAUUAUUUUAUCCAAAACUUAUCACGUUCAAAGUCAUGUUCCUCAUGGAGAUGCGACCUUCCAGAAGAGGCCGUGGGAAGUGCAGGCUGGCCUGGAGAUCUGACCAUCUCAGACGGCAUCUGCCAGGACCACGGCUCAGGCUCAAGGGGUUUAUCAUGGGAGUCGAACAUGAGAGCAUCUUCCAGAGGGAAUGGGCACCUGAAAAUGAUCUAGACCCUAUCCCUGUAGGUGACCUGGGAAGUUUGCUGCAUUGAUAACUUAAACAUGAUCAGGACACAGAGGCUUUCUCAGUCACCUCCCAAGAUCUGAAAGGAAACUCGGAACUUAUGUCUCAAAGUUCUCUUGUCUACCAACAGAGAUGAUCUCAUCGUGGGAGGAAGGGAGACGAGAUCUUGGAGGAGCGGGAGCUUUGCAAAGACUUCAUGAAGACAGGAAUCGAAACACAUCUACAGAGAGGCGACAUCAACCCUGAGAUCCGCUGUGAUAAUUAAUAAAUAAUUGUGGCAUUUUUAGGAAACAAAUGAGCCAUAGGACAGUGGGUAAAAGGAACAAGAAAAUGACUCUUUCCACCUUAGGCCUUAGCCUAAGCAACUCUCCAUUUUAAAACUCCAGUCUGAGACCUGCAAUCUCACCAGGCGCAGCUACGAAGCCCUCCAGUAUGGCCCUCAGGCAGACAAUUCGCUCUCCUUGUAGAGUCAAGUCUCUGUCUUGUUGUCCUCCCUCCAUAAGGGAGAGAGGCAAGAAAAUCAGGGUGGGGACCACCGGACCAGAUGCUUUAACCCCAGGGCAAAUGACAUCACUGAGAAAUCUGGUGGCAGCUGACAGGGAUUGAAAGGGUGGUCAGAAGCCCCCCAAUGUAGUAUAAAUGAUGGAGCAAGUGAAGGGACAUUCAGCCAGCCGACACUGCUGCUCACAGUGACAGCCUGAUGAAGACCCAGACUGACAUCCCAGCUCUCCUCAUCUGCCUGAUCCUCUGGAUCUUCUUCACCACUCUCAAACCCUGCAGCCACACCUUCAUGACGAGAGCCAUGACUUCUCCCUGCGACCCUCACCUCCACUGGCCAUCAGCUCCACCCCAGGAGAAGCCUGCUUCGGUUCUUGAUCUGAUCUCCAUGGUCUGAGUGGGUGUGCAUCUGCUGGACGUAAAAACCUAAGGCUGGAGACUUCUGAUCUGACUCUUGAGCUUAGCCUGCAGAGGGAAUGUCUAUCAUGAGCCUGUCCUGAUGAAGUGCGUUUACAGUGCUUAGAAUUAAUCUAGAAUUGUUUGCUGUGACUUAAUUAUGUCUACUGCAGGGCCCAGCAUGAAGGAUGGUCAUUUAAAGGGCAGGAGCGUGUGGACAUUCUUUCUUUCUCCCCCUUGACUGCAUAAGUCGCAGCUUUUGCCCAUCAAGACAGCACCAUCUUAGUCAGUUCUGCUGCCUGCCCUCUGCUGUACAUCACAAGAAUAGUGACCAGUUGCUCAAAAGCCCCCUCUCAUCUCUGGCACAUGGUGGAGUUCCCUCUUCCACAUCUGUGUCUGCUGGUCUCCUUCUUCCCUGACCAGUCUCUGACUCUACCCAUCUCUGAUGACCUUUGGUUCCUUCGUGUUUAUGUAAUUUCUUACCCCCUGAAUUUGAAGCUGUCUCCAUCUCAUCUUGUUGGUCUAGGGUUCAACUACAGGUAGGGGACUCUCUUGAGGGCGACAUUGUGUUGGAUAAAUGGAGGGGGCGGAAAAACACAAAGAAACUAAAGUCAUGAUUCUUAGUUUCAUGGAGAUGAUUAAUCUUGAGGUUUUCUUGUACUUCUUUCUAAUCAUUUUUCAUUUAUAAGCCCUGAUUGAUGAGUUAAGGAUAACAGCUAACGUAUCUAACGACUCACUCUAUAGAAAGUUCCAUGGUAAACACUUGCCACACCAUCUCAUUUUUUCCCCCUGUUCACCAAUGCUGCUGGUUAUAUUAGUGUCACCACUUGACAGAAGAUACAACAGAAAUGUAGAGGCUCUAGUGGCCUUAAAGUGGUGAAGUAGAAAUCAGAAUUCAGACUGCAGAGGUUGGAGAAUAAGCCUGCAGGAUUCUAGACCUCUAGAUGACAUUGGCAUCCCAGCCCUUGUCCCCUUUCAGAAUAACUGUGGGAUGUGCAACGUCCCAAGAUAAGGUGUUACUGUCCUGAACAACCCAAGCUCUGCUCCCGUCCCUCCUAGAACAGGAUGUCCUAUGACACUUCAGGUACUCCAGAGUAUAAAACGCAGAGUGCAGUGCUUUUGCUCUGGGUUCACUUGUCUGCUGCCUGAUACGGGGCAUGCACAGGCAAGGCUCCAUUGGUUCUGGAUGGCUUUCCUAAACCUUGGAGGUCGGACUCACCACGACUCCUGGGCUUCUGGUGUCCCUGAAAGUACCUGUGAGUAAUAAAGUUGUUUCACUUGGUUCA
Ictidomys tridecemlineatus (thirteen-lined ground squirrel) is the source of this 6793-nucleotide non-coding RNA. The record is from RefSeq and is a predicted model, not a curated record. Lineage: Eukaryota; Metazoa; Chordata; Mammalia; Rodentia; Sciuridae.